CCACUUCAUUUGACAUAAUAUAUUGCAUAUUUUAUUUUAGUCAUAUUUUUUCAUUGACUGUUGUUUCUGCAGUAAGGAACUUGGUGAAUUUAGCAUCAAGAAACAAUGAUAGCUAGCAUUGUGUGACCAAGAAUUGCUUCAAUCCAAACAAUCUACAAAUUACAGCUGAAAAGUAUUGUAUCAGGAUAAAUUUCAUAUUUAUAUAUAACCGCCUGGAGCAAACAUGAUAAUCAUAUUCUGCCCUAUUUUAAUUAUUGUAUUUUAGCACGUAUUAAAUUUACUACUUAAUCGAGGUACUGCAAUUUUACAUUAUCUCGACUGAAAUGCAGCUCAAUUUUCAAAAAGCAGUCACUCUCAGUGAAAUUAACAAUGGUAAGGAUCCCCCUCCUGUAAACAGAAAAUGACCAUCCUGCACAGAAAAGAUCGUUUUGGAGAAUUUUAUUUCUUUUUUAAUAAAUUGAAAACUCGGCUUCUGGGUAUUACCAGACCAAUGGAUAACAUUUAAAACCCUUUUUCUGUCUUUUUGGAGGGUAUGCAGAUGAUAAUAAAAGGGACUAUGGAGUAAUGAAUAUAUUGAAGAUAUUGUCUUGAACCGCAAAACUGUAUAAAGUGUUACUUAUAUAGAGUAACACAAUAUAUAGAUAAAUUUUCCUAAAAAGAUACAAAUGAAAAUUAACCAGCUAUAGACAUUGAAAUCAAUACUCAAACAAGGCAUCCAUACUGUUGACCAUUUUUUGCACGUAAAACUGAAGAAAAAAACAAGAUCUAUCCAACUGGGUUUUAGCAUAAACCUAAAUACAGUCAUCAUCUCCUUUUUUUCCAUCACACCAGACUAUACUGGACAGCACUAUGCUGGUUUCUGCUCUAUCAAGGUGAUGUGUUCUCCUCUGCAGCAAAGUGGUUUUUCCAGCUGCUGCUCUGCUCCUGGGCAGUUGAAGCUCCGCUUUCCCUCUCAGGCUGUGGUUACAACAUAACAUCCACCUUCAGAGCAACAUAAUUUCACUUCUGACCCGGGUUUCUGAUUCAUACCUGCUACAAUAUUAACCACGUGGUGAUCAAUCUUACUGCUGAACCUAAGUGAGUCCUAUGGAACACCGCCUAAUCGUCCGAACACAUUAACUGAUGACUUUCAGACAGAUGUGAAUCUUUUUCUUGGUGAAUAGCACAGUCUCUCAGGGCUCCCACCCUGACUCUGAUGCUGCUCCAGGUGUUGCUGAACCCUCACACACCACCUUUACACCACAAUUCCCUCAUCAAUCCUAAACCAAAUUCUUCCAGCCUUAAGCCAAAUUCUCCACUGUUUCAUGCUCUCCUCUCUUCGCAUCACUGCAAACUUCACAUCAGCCCUCCUUCCCACAGGUGUCCAUCGGCAAGACAAAAACAGGGCAAAAACAAAACCAAAUCCUGCAAAUCAAAGCAGGACAGCUGGGUUUUAGCUGCCGUCCUCCCGCGCCUGGGCCGGGGCACCCGGGUAGGGGAUAAAGGCGGCGCAUGGCGCCUUCUAUGCCGUCUCGCGCCGACCGUUAGCCGCCAGGACAGCGCCGCGCGCUCAUCCGUUACAUUGUGCCCCUCACAGCGCAGCGCUGGGGGUGGGAGGAAGAGAGGCUCUCACAGGCGGAGGGAGACAGUCACAGUUUUAAAGCUAUUUUGAAGAGUUCCUGCAUGCCGAGAAGUGUUUGUCAUAGUACACUGCAGAGAAUUCUGUUCAUGGCAUGAAACCUUUUGGUAUUCUUUGAUGAAAGAGAGAAAGAAAACCUGCAGUGAUGAAAGUGAGCAGAGCAGCACCUGGAAUAAAUCAUCAAUUUCUAUGAGAAGUCCAAGGAACCAGUGGUUCAGUCUGAAGUCUGUGCUAUUCAUGUGGCUGCAGGAAAGGAGACAGCUUCCAGAAAAGGAAAGAGAAAAGAGAGAGGUGUUACUAACCCCCUUGUGAUGUUACGUCAUCUCCUCAGGCUGGCUGUGAUCUGUUGCUACCUACAUAGGAAAGAAUAAUAAAUGUUGAAGACUCCAUGGCCAGUAUAUAUGGAAAAGACACUAUAAGGAGUACCUAAUGGUGGUUCAGCAAAUGUGAUGGCAAUAACAGAACAUCAAGUGCUGCAUUCUUAUGCUGACAGAGCAGGAGCAAUCCGUGUGAAAGCAGCAUGUGGAUUAAAUGGCUCAAUUAGUGGAAGAUAUUCAAGUCUGUCAGUGAGAUGCAUCUGCAGCAUUACAUGUCUGUUUUUUGCCUCAGCGUGCCCACAGUCUGACCCCCGAUAAUGGCAGAUGUGAUAGAAUUUAAGAACUUACUGUGGAAGAUUCUCUGAUACAUUUCAUAUCAGGAGAACGGAGCAGAAACUAAGAAAAGAGAAGUGGAGGACUACACAAAUUAUGUGAACACUAUUAAAUACUGGAAAAUUUCAACAUAAUUUCUAAGGUGAA
Numida meleagris (helmeted guineafowl) is the source of this 2415-nucleotide long non-coding RNA. RefSeq lists it as uncharacterized. The transcript has 9 exons. The record is from RefSeq and is a predicted model, not a curated record. Lineage: Eukaryota; Metazoa; Chordata; Aves; Galliformes; Numididae.